AUCGGAGCUUGAGAACAGUAGAAAAAAAAAGAAUAAGAGAGAGAGUGGGUGCUUGUUCUCUUGAAGAUUUUACCUGAGAGUUCCUUGUGCCCUCUUUUAUAUAGAGGAGAGUAGACAUGUGUAACCUCCAAAUUCGAUAAUGGAAGUAGAGAAUCAGUGCUCACGAUCAUAAGGAUCAUGAGAUGAGUAGUGGGUUAUAAGCAUUAACUACAUGAUUUUAGUUCAUUUGCCCAUGAUUAAAGGAAUUCAUCGA
Molecule: long non-coding RNA, 253 nt
Filed under: Elaeis guineensis (African oil palm)
Lineage: Eukaryota; Viridiplantae; Streptophyta; Magnoliopsida; Arecales; Arecaceae
Description: long non-coding RNA (EGUI_LNC065271)
Source: RNAcentral